CUCGGCUACCAGAAGGCCCCAGCAGGAACGAGGAGAGGGAGAGACGUGCCUGGGACCAGCGGCUGGAGGAGCGAGGCCGCUACUCUCUUGGCUCGGCCACGGCCGGGCCCAUUCCUCCCAGCCACACACAGCCUCAGCAGUUCCUCCUCGCCGGCCUCCUCAGACUGGCUCUGACCAGGAUUCCCAGCAAACAUCGCAAAGACUACAACUCCCGGAAGGCAUCGCGAGAAAGAAAUUAGCGAAGGAAACAUCUAUUGAGGGCCUGCUGGAAUCGAGUCGCAAUAGCAGGUUUUUGAAAUAUGGCUGACUCUUUGAACUCGGCAGUUCUUCUUCUAGGAAUAAAUGCAUCCUCUAGAAAUACUUCCAAAGUUUGGAAAAGUGUAUACACCAGGAUGUUUAUUGCAACCUUGUAAGUGAAAGAUUGGAAACAAACUCAUUCAUUCAACAAAUAUGUAUGUGCCUAAUAUAUGUGCAGCACCAUGUAAAGCUAUGUUAACUUGGCAAAUAA
Molecule: long non-coding RNA, 508 nt
Organism: Microcebus murinus (gray mouse lemur)
Lineage: Eukaryota; Metazoa; Chordata; Mammalia; Primates; Cheirogaleidae
Source: RefSeq, a predicted model, not a curated record